GAUGAACGCUAGCGACAGGCUUAACACAUGCAAGUCGGAGGGGCAGCACAGGUAGCAAUACCGGGUGGCGACCGGCGCACGGGUGAGUAACGCGUAUGCAACUUGCCUAUCAGGAGGGGAUAACCCGGCGAAAGUCGGACUAAUACCGCAUGAAGCGAGGGACUCCCGCAGUGGGAAUAUUUGACUAAAGAUCCAUCGCUGAUAGAUAGGCAUGCGUUCCAUUAGGCAGUUGGCGGGU
This 238-nucleotide ribosomal RNA is filed under the name uncultured bacterium. RNAcentral's name for it is "partial 16S ribosomal RNA". It matches the Rfam family "Bacterial small subunit ribosomal RNA", at positions 28 to 257 of the family's 1533-position model. The record is from RNAcentral.